This 253-nucleotide ribosomal RNA is filed under the name uncultured bacterium. Its description in RNAcentral is "partial 16S ribosomal RNA". It matches the Rfam family "Bacterial small subunit ribosomal RNA", at positions 524 to 776 of the family's 1533-position model. The record is from RNAcentral.
UACGUAGGGUGCGAGCGUUGUCCGGAAUUAUUGGGCGUAAAGAGCUUGUAGGCGGUUUGUCGCGUCUGCUGUGAAAAUCCGGGGCUCAACCCCGGACUUGCAGUGGGUACGGGCAGACUAGAGUUCGGUAGGGGAGACUGGAAUUCCUGGUGUAGCGGUGAAAUGCGCAGAUAUCAGGAGGAACACCGGUGGCGAAGGCGGGUCUCUGGGCCGAUACUGACGCUGAGGUGCGAAAGCGUGGGGAGCAAACAGG